Molecule: ribosomal RNA, 406 nt
Filed under: uncultured bacterium
Lineage: Bacteria
Description: partial 16S ribosomal RNA
Rfam family: Bacterial small subunit ribosomal RNA
Source: RNAcentral
AUUGAACGCUGGCGGCAGGCCUACCACAUGCAAGUCGAACGAGUGGCGGACGGGUGAGUAAUGUCUGGGAACCUGCCCGAUGGAGGGGGAUAAAUCCUGGAAACGGUAGCUAAUACCGCAUACCAUCGGAUGUGCCCAGAUGGAAUUAGCUAGUAGGUGGGGUAACGGCUCACCUAGGCGAGGAUCCCUAGCUGGUCGGAGAGGAUGACCAGCCACACUGGAACGGAGACACGGUCCAGACUCCUACGGGAGGCAGCAGUGGGGAAUAUUGCACAAUGGGCGCAAGCCUGAUGCAGCCAUGCCGCGUGUAUGAAGAAGGCCUUAGGGUUGUAAAGUACUUUCAGCGGGGAGGCGUUACUCGCAGAAGAAGCACCGGCUAACUCCGUGCCAGCAGCCGCGGUAAUUC